CACAUCUAAGGAAGGCAGCAGGCGCGCAAAUUACCCAAUCCUGACACAGGGAGGUAGUGACAAGAAGUAACAAAGCAAGCCAGAUAUCUGGUUUUGCUAUUGGAAUGAGUAGAAUUUAAAUCUCUUUACGACUAUCAAUUGGAGGGCAAGUCUGGUGCCAGCAGCCGCGGUAAUUCCAGCUCCAAUAGCGUAUAUUAAAGUUGUUGCGGUUAAAAAGCUCGUAGUUGGAUUUCUGUGGGGACGGAGCGGCCGGCCGCAACUCGCGGUUCGAGCUAGCGCUUUCCCUACAUCCUGCCGCGAACCGUGCUACCAUUAGUUUGGUGGCGCCGGGGAUCGGCUCGAUUACUUUGAGAAAAAUAGAGUGUUCAAAGCAGGCCACACGCCUUGAAUAAGUUAGCAUGGAAUAAUAACUAAGGACUUCGGUUCUAUUUUGUUGGUGUUCGGGACUGAAGUAAUGAUUGAUAGGGACAGUUGGGGCGGUCUGUAUUCCAAAGCGAGAGGUGAAAUUCUUAGACCUUCGGAAGACAAACAGCUGCGAAAGCGUUCCGCAAGGAUGUUCCCUUUGAUCAAGAACGAAAGUUGGGGGAUCGAAGACGAUCAGAUACCGUCGUAGUCUCAACUAUAAACUAUACCAGCUAGGGAUCGGCCAACGUUAUUUAAACCGACUUGGUCGGCACCUUAUGAGAAAUCAAAGCAUCUGGGUUCCGGGGGGAGUAUGGUCGCAAGGCUGAAGCUUAAAGGAAUUGACGGAAGGGCACCACCAGCCGUGGAGCCUGUGGCUUAAUUUGACUCAACACGGGAAAACUUACCAGGUCCAGACAUAGUAAGGAUUGACAGAUUGAUAGCUCUUUCUUGAUUCUGUGGGUGGUGGUGCAUGGCCGUUCUUAGUUGGUGGAGUGAUUUGUCUGGUUAAUUCCGUUAACGAACGAGACCCCAGCCUGCCAAAUAGCGCGUGUGAGCUUUGCUCGCAGCGAGCUUCUUAGAGGGACUAUGAUGCGCGAUAGCACAUGGAAGUUUGGGGCAAUAACAGGUCUGUGAUGCCCUUAGAUGUUCUGGGCCGCACACGGGCUACACUGGCGCCUGCAACGAGCAUA
This 1094-nucleotide ribosomal RNA is filed under the name uncultured marine eukaryote. Its description in RNAcentral is "bacterial SSU rRNA". It matches the Rfam family "Eukaryotic small subunit ribosomal RNA", at positions 411 to 1523 of the family's 1831-position model. The record is from RNAcentral.